AGUAUAUUAAAAAUAAUGCUGAAGACGGAAGCUUUGGAAAAUGGAUAGAAGUUAGGUCAAGCUUCAAGUCCCAUCUUUAUUCUAUUCCUGACUAGGACAAAUCACCUCCGCUCUCCUUUGUCGCUUACCAAGCAUCAAAUGAAGACAGCAGAGUUCGCCCAGACAUGCACAAUAAUGUAUAAAACAAGAUGCCAAGUACAGACGGCUUACACCUGAAAUCCCAGCAUUCAGGAGCCUGAGUUCAAGGCCAGCUAUAUUCAGGUAACAAGAUCUUAUCUCCAACAAACAAACAAACAAACUAAAAAGCCAAGGAUAAACUUA
RNAcentral lists this long non-coding RNA (321 nucleotides) under Chinchilla lanigera (long-tailed chinchilla). RNAcentral describes it as "lncRNA (ENSCLAG00000027277.1)". Lineage: Eukaryota; Metazoa; Chordata; Mammalia; Rodentia; Chinchillidae. The record is from RNAcentral.